Molecule: ribosomal RNA, 702 nt
Filed under: uncultured bacterium
Lineage: Bacteria
Description: bacterial SSU rRNA
Rfam family: Bacterial small subunit ribosomal RNA
Source: RNAcentral
AGUUGUAUCCUGGCUCAGGAUGAACGCUAGCGGUAUGCCUAACACAUGCAAGUCGUACGAGGGUUUCAUACCCAAGUGGCGGACGGGUGAGUAACACGUGAGAAUUUGCCCUAAGGAGGGGGAUAACAACUGGAAACGGUUGCUAAAACCCCAUAUGCUUCCGAGUGAAAUAGAUUUAUCUGCCUUAGGAGAAGCUCGCGGCUGAUUAGCUAGUUGGUAAGGUAAUGGCUUACCAAGGCGACGAUCAGUAUCUGGUUUGAGAGGACGAUCAGACACACUGGAACUGAGACACGGUCCAGACUCCUACGGGAGGCAGCAGUGGGGAAUUUUCCGCAAUGGGCGAAAGCCUGACGGAGCAAUACCGCGUGAAGGAAGACGGCCUAUGGGUUGUAAACUUCUUUUUUCAGGGAGGAACUCAAUGACGUGUACCUGAAGAAUAAGCAUCGGCUAACUCCGUGCCAGCAGCCGCGGUAAGACGGAGGAUGCAAGUGUUAUCCGGAAUCACUGGGCGUAAAGCGUCUGUAGGUGGUUUAAUAAGUCGACUGUUAAAUCUUGAGGCUUAAUCUCAAAAUCGCAUUCGAAACUAUUAGACUUGAGUAUAGUAGAGGUAAAGGGAAUUUCCAGUGGAGCGGUGAAAUGCGUAGAUAUUGGAAAGAACACCGAUGGCGAAGGCACUUUACUGGGCUAUUACUGACACUCAGA